This 85-nucleotide transfer RNA is filed under the name Chthoniobacterales bacterium. Its description in RNAcentral is "tRNA-Leu". It matches the Rfam family "tRNA". From Rfam's summary of the family: Transfer RNA (tRNA) molecules are approximately 80 nucleotides in length. Their secondary structure includes four short double-helical elements and three loops (D, anti-codon, and T loops). The record is from RNAcentral. Lineage: Bacteria; Pseudomonadati; Verrucomicrobiota; Spartobacteria; Chthoniobacterales.
GCCGGCGUGGCGAAAUGGCAGACGCAACGGACUUAAAAUCCGUUGGGACGAAAGUCCCGUGCGGGUUCAAGUCCCGCCGCCGGCA